Molecule: long non-coding RNA, 681 nt
Filed under: Monodelphis domestica (gray short-tailed opossum)
Lineage: Eukaryota; Metazoa; Chordata; Mammalia; Didelphimorphia; Didelphidae
Description: lncRNA (ENSMODG00000045169.1)
Source: RNAcentral
UACAGAGAAGGAAUUUGAUGCCCAAAAAGAGAACCUAACCUGCUCAGGGUCCCAGAGCUGGUAAGAAGCUGAGCCAGCAUUCCAGCCCAGAUUCUACUUCCUCCUCAAUCUGUCACUCUUCGUAGUUAGGAAGCACAAAGGGCACAGAAGCAACCAAAGGUGAAUAGUUAUUCUGAGAUGUGAUCAGGGAGUCAGUGAGAAAGGAAGAUUUAUUGAGAGAGAACUCCCAGGCGACUGGGACACGGAGAUCCACCAAAGCCAUCUGAGGUCCCAUCAGCCACUGGAGUCAGGCAACUCUCUUCAGCUUCAAAGUUGCAGUGGUGCCCAUCUACACCGGUGGAGGGAAGUUUCUUCCUCAAGAGUUCAACUUUACCAAGAAACCCCCAGAUUUGGUAUUCACAACAAAGUCUGAAACACAGCUAGAUUACUAGUUAUGUUAAAGGAAUUAUCUUUCAAAGUUAUUAAUCCAUGUAUGAUUAUUUAGCAAAACCCAGGAAGUUGAAGUACUUGGAUACUUUCUUUACUUAGAGAGAGUAACUACAGGGGCAGCUAGGUGGUUCAGUGGAGAACCAAGCCUGGAGACACAGAGGUCUAGUUCAAAUCUGGCCUCAGACACUUCCCAGCUGUGUGACCCUGGGCAAGUCACUUAACCCCAACUGCCUAGCCUUUACCACUCUUCUG